AGAGUUUGAUCCUGGCUCAGAAUCAACGCUGGCGGCGUGCCUAACACAUGCAAGUCGCACGAGAAAGGGGAGCAAUCCCUGAGUACAGUGGCGCACGGGUGAGUAACACGUGACUAAUCUACCCUCGAGUGGGGAAUAACUGAGAGAAAUCUUAGCUAAUACCGCAUAACACUUACGAGUCAAAGCAGCAAUGCGCUUGGGGAGGAGGUCGCGGCCGAUUAGCUAGUUGGCGGGGUAAUGGCCCACCAAGGCGAUGAUCGGUAUCCGGCCUGAGAGGGCGCACGGACACACUGGAACUGAAACACGGUCCAGACUCCUACGGGAGGCAGCAGUGGGGAAUUUUGCGCAAUGGGGGAAACCCUGACGCAGCAACGCCGCGUGGAGGAUGAAAUAUCUUGGUAUGUAAACUCCUUUCGAUGGGGAAGAUUAUGACGGUACCCAUAGAAGAAGCCCCGGCUAACUUCGUGCCAGCAGCCGCGGUAAUACGAGGGGGGCAAGCGUUGUUCGGAUUUAUUGGGCGUAAAGGGUGCGUAGGCGGUUUGGCAAGUCUUAUGUGAAAUCUUCGGGCUCAACCCGAAGCCUGCAUGAGAAACUGCCGGGCUUGAGUAUGGGAGAGGUGAGUGGAAUUUCCGGUGUAGCGGUGAAAUGCGUAGAUAUCGGAAGGAACACCUGUGGCGAAAGCGGCUCACUGGACCAUAACUGACGCUGAUGUACGAAAGCUAGGGGAGCAAACAGGAUUAGAUACCCUAGUAGUCC
This 756-nucleotide ribosomal RNA is filed under the name uncultured bacterium. Its description in RNAcentral is "bacterial SSU rRNA". It matches the Rfam family "Bacterial small subunit ribosomal RNA", at positions 8 to 796 of the family's 1533-position model. The record is from RNAcentral.